RNAcentral lists this ribosomal RNA (406 nucleotides) under uncultured bacterium. Its description in RNAcentral is "partial 16S ribosomal RNA". It matches the Rfam family "Bacterial small subunit ribosomal RNA", at positions 30 to 526 of the family's 1533-position model. The record is from RNAcentral.
AUUGAACGCUGGCGGCAGGCCUAACACAUGCAAGUCGAACGAGUGGCGGACAGGUGAGUAAUGUCUGGGAAACUGCCUUAUGUAGGGGGAUAACUACUGGAAACGGUAGCUAAUCCCGCAUACCAUCGGAUGUGCCCAGAUGGGAUGAGCUAGUAGGUGGGGUAACGGCUCACCUCGGCGACGAUCCCUAGCGGGUCUGAGAGGAUGACCAGCCACACUGGAACUGAGACACGGUUCAGACUCCUACGUGAGGCAGCAGUGGGGAAUAGUGCACAAUGGGCGCAAGCCUGAUGCAGCCAUGCCGCGUGUAUGAAGAAGGCGUUCGGGUUGUAAAGUACUUUCAGCGGGGAGGCGUUACCCGCAGAAGUAGCACCGGCUAACUCCGUGCCAGCAGCCGCGGUAAUAC